UCAAACUGGCAACCUCAUGGUUCCUAGUUGGAUUCGUUAACCGCUGAGCCAUGAUGGGGACUCCAGGUGUUCGGUUUUUAUGCAAGAGCUCCCCAGAGAAAUGUUCUUUGAGCUGUGCUGAGCCUUGAAGAAUGAAUAGGAUUUUGAGUCGGCGAAGAAAACAGCAGAGGAAACCAACUACUGAGCACAAAGGUAAACCAGACCACAGGCAGCUAGAAUGGAUCUCUGUAGAGGGAGUGAACUCAAACACAAAGGUGAAUUCUUGGCACAGAGUUGGAGGAAUAUGAAUGCUCAUGUACAAACCGGGAAUGAUGCCAGGAAUAAGGCAGAAAGGAAGACUGGCCUAAGUGCUAAAAAAGUUAAGGAGCUGGGGCAUGAACUAGUGUUACAGAAGAGAAGUGGCAGAUGAAGGUGUCUAAUACAUCAUGUCACUAUGUAAACUGAGCUUGAAAAAUUCCCAUAUCUCUAUUUUAUCUUAUACUGAAAAAUAUUCUGAUACCUGACUUUUGCCUUGUGUGUCAGAGACUGAACAUGGCCAUCACUGUGUUUAUUAUCUUCAUGUGCAGGAUAUGUAAUUUCUUUAUCCCUUUCUCCUGGCAAUUAGAUCAAACCAGUGACAAAGUUAUGGCUGUGAAGUUUGAAUGGAUGUGUGGCACUUCCAGACCUGGCUCAUCAAAGCCUCCCAUGUCUAAUCCUAGCAUUAUUACUACAUCUGCUAGAUGAAUGAAGAGGUCUUCAAAGACUUACAGAAGAGACAGGAUAAAAGGAUCUUGGGUCCCUGAGUGACUGUGUGGAGUAGAGACCAUCCACUGACCUGCACUUCAAUGUCAGGUCUUGACCUAGACGUGGUGUAGCUGACAGCUGAGAUUCUUGUGCUGAGCCAUAUAGAAGCUGUAAGAUUGAUCACACUUCUGAAGGAGGAUUCUCCCAGAUGCCACACUGAAGCAGAUUCCAUGGACCAGGAGGACUGAAAAGGUUUGGAGCUUUCCUAGACAAUUUAGAGGCACCUACAAAAGUAAGCUUUCCACAAUAGGAUAACAAAGGAUUUCAAUGGAACCAGCAAAGAAAGGCAAAGAACCUGCUCUAUAUAUAGCACCAGGAAUUGGACAUCCAUAUGGCAGCAGCAGUGGUGGUGGCAGUGGUGGUGGCAGCGGCGGCGGCAGCAGCGGCGGUGGUGGCACAGGGGGUGUAUUAUAGCAAUGGGAGAGAUAGUUUAUUACUAAGAUAUUAUGUUAUUUUUUGGGAUUUUGUGAUGUUUGUGGUCUCUGCCAGCUCCCUUUAUUUUUAUUUUAUUUUAUUUUUUUUGGCUUUUUAGGGCCUGCAGGUAUGGCAUAUG
Molecule: long non-coding RNA, 1336 nt
Organism: Phacochoerus africanus (Common warthog)
Lineage: Eukaryota; Metazoa; Chordata; Mammalia; Artiodactyla; Suidae
Exons: 4
Source: RefSeq, a predicted model, not a curated record